This 452-nucleotide ribosomal RNA is filed under the name uncultured bacterium. Its description in RNAcentral is "partial 16S ribosomal RNA". It matches the Rfam family "Bacterial small subunit ribosomal RNA", at positions 29 to 523 of the family's 1533-position model. The record is from RNAcentral.
AACGAACGCUGGCGGCAGGUCUUAGGCAUGCAAGUCGAACGGGUGUAGUAAUACACCAGUGGCGAACGAGUGAGUAACGCGUGGGAAUCUGCCCAUCUCUGGGGAAUAACGUUUGGAAACGAACGCUAAUACCGCAUACGCCCGCAAGGGGAAAGAUUUAUCGGAGAUGGAUGAGCCCGCGUUGGAUUAGUUAGUUGGUGGGGUAACGGCCUACCAAGGCGACGAUCUGUAGCUGGUCUGAGAGGACGAUCAGCCACACUGGAACUGAGACACGGUCCAGACUCCUACGGGAGGCAGCAGUGGGGAAUCUUGCGCAAUGGGCGAAAGCCUGACGCAGCAAUGCCGCGUGAGGGAAGACGGCCUUAGGGUUGUAAACCUCUUUCAGCAGGGACGAACACAGACGGUACCUGCAGAAGAAGCCCCGGCUAACUACGUGCCAGCAGCCGCAGUAA